RNAcentral lists this ribosomal RNA (402 nucleotides) under uncultured bacterium. RNAcentral's name for it is "bacterial SSU rRNA". It matches the Rfam family "Bacterial small subunit ribosomal RNA", at positions 355 to 774 of the family's 1533-position model. The record is from RNAcentral.
UGGGGAAUAUUGCACAAUGGGCGAAAGCCUGAUGCAGCAACGCCGCGUGAGUGAUGAAGGCCUUCGGGUUGUAAAGCUCUGUCUUCUGGGACGAUAAUGACGGUACCAGAGGAGGAAGCCACGGCUAACUACGUGCCAGCAGCCGCGGUAAUACGUAGGUGGCAAGCGUUGUCCGGAUUUACUGGGCGUAAAGGAUGCGUAGGCGGAUACUUAAGUCAGAUGUGAAAAUCCCGGGCUUAACUUGGGGACUGCAUUUGAAACUGGGUAUCUAGAGUGCGGGAGAGGAAAGUGGAAUUCCUAGUGUAGCGGUGAAAUGCGUAGAGAUUAGGAAGAACACCAGUGGCGAAGGCGACUUUCUGAACCGUAACUGACGCUGAGGCAUGAAAGCGUGGGGAGCAAACA